UACGGAGGAUCCAAGCGUUAUCCGGAUUUAUUGGGUUUAAAGGGUGCGUAGGCGGGCUUGUAAGUCAGUGGUGAAAGCCCGGAGCUCAACUCCGGAACUGCCAUUGAUACUGCAAGUCUUGAGUACACUUGAGGUGGGCGGAAUACAUCAUGUAGUGGUGAAAUACUUAGAUAUGAUGUAGAACACCGAUUGCGAAGGCAGCUCACUAAAUUGUAACUGACGCUGAGGCACGAAAGCGUGGGGAUCAAACAGG
Molecule: ribosomal RNA, 253 nt
Filed under: uncultured bacterium
Lineage: Bacteria
Description: partial 16S ribosomal RNA
Rfam family: Bacterial small subunit ribosomal RNA
Source: RNAcentral